UUAUCUAGUGUGCCUUUAAGUCUACCUACUUCAUUCUUAAGGAUCACAGAAGAAACACAACCGUUAGUAGAACUUUCAGGUUUGUCGGCACUUCUCUUUACAUAAAACUUGUUUUGUUCGUGUAGCUUCUCAUUUUCUAAAACCAGUUUUUCUAAUUCCUUUUCUUUUAAAGAAAUCUGUUUUUGAAAAUCCGUUUCUUUUAGAGAAGCGUUUUCUCUUAAGNNNN
Molecule: long non-coding RNA, 226 nt
Filed under: Nicotiana benthamiana
Lineage: Eukaryota; Viridiplantae; Streptophyta; Magnoliopsida; Solanales; Solanaceae
Description: long non-coding RNA (NBEN_LNC013006)
Source: RNAcentral